This 293-nucleotide ribosomal RNA is filed under the name uncultured bacterium. Its description in RNAcentral is "partial 16S ribosomal RNA". It matches the Rfam family "Archaeal small subunit ribosomal RNA", at positions 455 to 747 of the family's 1478-position model. The record is from RNAcentral.
GUGCCAGCCGCCGCGGUAAUACCGGCAGCCCAAGUGAUGGCCGAUCUUAUUGGGCCUAAAGCGUCCGUAGCUGGCCGCGCAAGUCCAUCGGAAAAUCCACCCGCCCAACGGGUGGGCGUCCGGUGGAAACUGCGUGGCUUGGGACCGGAAGACCGAAGGGGUACGUCCGGGGUAGGAGUGAAAUCCUGUAAUCCUGGACGGACCACCGGUGGCGAAAGCGCCUUCGGAAGACGGAUCCGACAGUGAGGGACGAAAGCCAGGGUCUCCAACCGGAUUAGAUACCCCGGUAGUCC